GAGAUUUUAAAAACUAAUUUUUUACCUGAUGCUCCUCUAUUUCCUCUUGAUGUUUCAGUUCCACAUCUGGCUUCAGUCUGAAUGUUUGCCUUCUGCCACGGUCUCUGUGGCCCUGUGAUAUCAGCCUGGGAGAAGCAGGAACUCUGCCAGACUCCCCCAGUCAUCAUAACAUUGACCCACUGAGGAAGGCUGAUAAGGACUCAAGAAGAGCCUAUGUCAGGGCAGAUCAGCAGGCCACAGGCUGACCUCAAAGAGUGAAUCAGGUCCUUGUUGUGGGGGAAAUUCAGGGGUUUUCACGUGAGUAGCCAAAGUUAAAUGUACAACCUCUAAGUGAAUGAGCAUCAGUUCCACACACCAGACAAGCAUCUUUCACCCUGGUUGAUUUUGUUGCCAAGUUCCACAUUUAUUUUAAAUUAGGCUGCUCUGUACAUUUUCAUUGUGAGCAAUAUUAACUUAUUUCAUCACCUUCCGAAUUUCUUGGUUCUAUUCUACUUACUUCUCUUUCUCUUUGAUAAGACCCGGCCUAGUAAAAUGCACACAGAUGGGGAGCUGGUUGUCCCUGGCCUGAAG
This 570-nucleotide long non-coding RNA is filed under the name Marmota monax (woodchuck). Lineage: Eukaryota; Metazoa; Chordata; Mammalia; Rodentia; Sciuridae. The record is from RNAcentral.